CUGAGAACCGGGAAACUGGUUUUGACCGCAGGGCAGAAGUCAGCAGAAGGCAUAGUAGGUGCGGCCCGCACCGAAGGCC
This is a non-coding RNA of Burkholderiales bacterium, 79 nucleotides long. The record is from Rfam. Lineage: Bacteria; Pseudomonadati; Pseudomonadota; Betaproteobacteria; Burkholderiales.